This 765-nucleotide ribosomal RNA is filed under the name uncultured bacterium. RNAcentral's name for it is "bacterial SSU rRNA". It matches the Rfam family "Bacterial small subunit ribosomal RNA", at positions 86 to 852 of the family's 1533-position model. The record is from RNAcentral.
AGCCGGCGACCGGCGCACGGGUGAGUAACGCGUAUGCAACCUACCUCUAACAGGGGGAUAGCUCUGAGAAAUCGGAAUUAAUACCCCAUAAUAUUCUAUCGGGGCAUCCUGAUAGAAUUAAAGCUCCGGCGGUUAGAGAUGGGCAUGCGUGCUAUUAGCUAGUUGGUGAGGUAACGGCUCACCAAGGCUGUGAUGGCUAGGGGGUCUGAAAGGAUGAUCCCCCACAUUGGUACUGAGACACGGACCAGAAUUCUACGGGAGGCAGCAGUGAGGAAUAUUGGUCAAUGGGCGAAAGCCUGAACCAGCCAUGCCGCGUGAGGGAUGAAGGUGCUAUGCAUUGUAAACCUCUUUUGUACGGGACGAAACCCCCGGUCGUGAUCGGGGCUGACGGUACCGUACGAAUAAGCAUCGGCUAACUCCGUGCCAGCAGCCGCGGUAAUACGGAGGAUGCAAGCGUUAUCCGGAUUCAUUGGGUUUAAAGGGUGCGUAGGCGGAAUAGUAAGUCAGUGGUGAAAUCCUACAGCUUAACUGUAGAACUGCCAUUGAUACUGCUAUUCUUGAGUGCAGUUGAGGUAGCUGGAAUGUGUGGUGUAGCGGUGAAAUGCUUAGAUAUCACACAGAACACCGAUUGCGAAGGCAGGUUACUAAACUGUAACUGACGCUGAGCACGAAAGCGUGGGGAGCAAACAGGAUUAGAUACCCUGGUAGUCCACGCCCUAAACGUUGAUAACUCGCUGUUGGUACUUUAUGUAUCAGUGGCUAAGC